RNAcentral lists this non-coding RNA (110 nucleotides) under Luteococcus japonicus. RNAcentral's name for it is "TPP sequence". It matches the Rfam family "TPP riboswitch aptamer (THI element)". From Rfam's summary of the family: Vitamin B(1) in its active form thiamin pyrophosphate (TPP) is an essential coenzyme that is synthesised by coupling of pyrimidine and thiazole moieties in bacteria. The previously detected thiamin-regulatory element, thi box was extended, resulting in a new, highly conserved RNA secondary structure, the THI element, which is widely distributed in eubacteria and also occurs in some archaea. RNAcentral also lists the same sequence under 1 other name. The record is from RNAcentral. Lineage: Bacteria; Bacillati; Actinomycetota; Actinomycetes; Propionibacteriales; Propionibacteriaceae.
AUGGGUGCACACGGGAGUCCGGAGCACCGGGCUGAGAGGAAGGUUUCGCACCUUCGACCGUCGAACCUGAUCUGGAUCAUGCCAGCGCAGGGAGGCCUCUUGCGGCAGCC